This 441-nucleotide ribosomal RNA is filed under the name uncultured bacterium. RNAcentral describes it as "partial 16S ribosomal RNA". It matches the Rfam family "Bacterial small subunit ribosomal RNA", at positions 338 to 795 of the family's 1533-position model. The record is from RNAcentral.
CCUACGGGAGGCAGCAGUGGGGAAUAUUGCACAAUGGGGGAGACCCUGAUGCAGCGACGCCGCGUGAAUGAAGAAGUAUUUAGGUGUGUAAAGCUCUAUCAGCAAGGAAGAAGAGAGACGGUACCUGACUAAGAAGCCCCGGCUAACUACGUGCCAGCAGCCGCGGUAAUACGGAGGAGCCAAGCGUUAUCCGGAUUUACUGGGUGUAAAGGGAGCGUAGAAGGCUGUGCAAGUCUGAAGUGAAAGCCCAGGGCUCAACCCUGGGACUGCGUUGGAAACUGUGGAGCUUGAGUGCUGGAGAGGUAAGUGGAAUUCGUAGUGUAGCGGUGAAAUGCGUAGAUAUUAGGAGGAACACCAGUGGCGAAGGCGGCUUACUGGACAGCAACUGACGUUGAGGCUCGAAAGUGUGGGGAGCAAACAGGAUUAGAUACCCCAGUAGUC